AGAGUUUGAUCAUGGCUCAGAUUGAACGCUGGCGGCAGGCCUAACACAUGCAAGUCGAGCGGUAACAGAAAGUAGCUUGCUACUUUGCUGACGAGCGGCGGACGGGUGAGUAAUGCUUGGGAACAUGCCUUGAGGUGGGGGACAACAGUUGGAAACGACUGCUAAUACCGCAUAAUGUCUACGGACCAAAGGGGGCUUCGGCUCUCGCCUUUAGAUUGGCCCAAGUGGGAUUAGCUAGUUGGUGAGGUAAUGGCUCACCAAGGCGACGAUCCCUAGCUGGUUUGAGAGGAUGAUCAGCCACACUGGGACUGAGACACGGCCCAGACUCCUACGGGAGGCAGCAGUGGGGAAUAUUGCACAAUGGGCGCAAGCCUGAUGCAGCCAUGCCGCGUGUGUGAAGAAGGCCUUCGGGUUGUAAAGCACUUUCAGUCAGGAGGAAAGCGUGGUGGUUAAUACCCAUCAUGUGUGACGUUACUGACAGAAGAAGCACCGGCUAACUCCGUGCCAGCAGCCGCGGUAAUACGGAGGGUGCGAGCGUUAAUCGGAAUUACUGGGCGUAAAGCGUACGCAGGCGGUUUGUUAAGCGAGAUGUGAAAGCCCCGGGCUCAACCUGGGAACUGCAUUUCGAACUGGCAAACUAGAGUGUGAUAGAGGGUGGUAGAAUUUCAGGUGUAGCGGUGAAAUGCGUAGAGAUCUGAAGGAAUACCGAUGGCGAAGGCAGCCACCUGGGUCAACACUGACGCUCAUGUACGAAAGCGUGGGGAGCAAACGGGAUUAGAUACCCCGGUAGUCCACGCCGUAAAACGAUGUCUACUAGAAGCUCGGAGCCUCGGUUCUGUUUUUCAAGCUAACGCAUUAAGUAGACCGCCUGGGGAGUACGGCCGCAAGGUUAAAACUCAAAUGAAUUGACGGGGGCCCGCACAAGCGGUGG
RNAcentral lists this ribosomal RNA (931 nucleotides) under uncultured bacterium. RNAcentral describes it as "bacterial SSU rRNA". It matches the Rfam family "Bacterial small subunit ribosomal RNA", at positions 8 to 935 of the family's 1533-position model. The record is from RNAcentral.